This is a long non-coding RNA of Populus euphratica (Euphrates poplar), 801 nucleotides long. RefSeq lists it as uncharacterized. Lineage: Eukaryota; Viridiplantae; Streptophyta; Magnoliopsida; Malpighiales; Salicaceae. The record is from RefSeq and is a predicted model, not a curated record. The transcript is spliced from 3 exons.
UUAUCUUAUGCUAAUCUAACAGCGUUAUGAUACUUUCUGGUGUGCUUUUGUGGUGGAAAAUCCCAGUUUCUUCUCAUGGAUCGUGGGAUUGUCCCUGAUGGUGGUAUGGAAAUGACUAGAUCACAGCCCGAACUAUAUACAAGGGCUCUAACACAGGAGCUCAGCAGGCAUGCCGCUGUUAUUCUUCGAGGAACUCACAUAGUUGCCAGACAUUGUUGUCUGGGCAUUCCUAGGCUUGGAAAGGGAUCCUCGAACCCGUAGGGCGUCUGCUGAGUCUUCCUACAAAUUAAGUUCUUAUGCUUACGUUUUCUAUCCUUUUAUUAGUAGCUAUAUUGAUCUUUGUUGAUCUCCUAUGGUUGAUUUUUUCGGCAUACUAUGCUGGACUGUCAAUGCUCACUAUGGUUUGAUUUUCAUCCGUUGAAUUAUUGAACUACAAGUUUGUCAUCUUCGAUGAAUUGAUAGCCACAUUGGCCAAGGCUUAUUGAAUAUGGUGAUUCAGUAAUUCUGUAGCCUAUACAGGGACAUGACAUAGAGAGAGAUCUACUUUCAUUCAUUUCUUGGCAUGUGCUCACGAGAGGCUAGGUCUUUAGACUACCAGCUACUAUACUGAUGGAGCAAACUUGACUUGCAUUGUUCUAGCUUAAGCCAUGCUGCAUAUUUGUUACUACAUUUGCGAUUCAAUAUUCAGUCAAGGAUUGUGGGACUUCUUCAUUUUCUCUUUUGCACUUGAAUUCUUCCAUUGUUUUGGGCCAAUACUUUUGCCUUCACUUCGAAGGUUUCCAGCUUGGCAUGACCCCCGUG